UGUUAAAAUUUUCAUCUAUUUCUACUAUUAAAAACUGGUGUGGUUGAUAAAAUAAGUAAACAAAUACAUGUGACGUGUCAUAUGUACCAUGCUGACGUAUAGAAACCAAUUUUUAACAAAAAGAAUGGAUGGAAUUUUUAAUA
This is a non-coding RNA of Gossypium raimondii (Peruvian cotton), 143 nucleotides long. NCBI's taxonomy places the organism in Eukaryota, Viridiplantae, Streptophyta, Magnoliopsida, Malvales, Malvaceae. The record is from Rfam.